Molecule: non-coding RNA, 84 nt
Organism: Rhodnius prolixus
Lineage: Eukaryota; Metazoa; Arthropoda; Insecta; Hemiptera; Reduviidae
Source: Rfam
GCCACGAUAGCCGAGCGGGUUAAAAGGCGAGACCUGCAAAGCUAAUAUGCAUUGUGGUACUGGGUUCGAUUCCCGGUCUUGGCC